UUAAAUUGAAGAGUUUGAUCAUGGCUCAGAUUGAACGCUGGCGGCAGGCCUAACACAUGCAAGUCGAACGGUAACAGGAAGCAGCUUGCUGYUUUGCUGACGAGUGGCGGACGGGUGAGUAAUGUCUGGGAAACUGCCUGAUGGAGGGGGAUAACUACUGGAAACGGUAGCUAAUACCGCAUAACGUCGCAAGACCAAAGAGGGGGACCUUAGGGCCUCUUGCCAUCGGAUGUGCCCAGAUGGGAUUAGCUAGUAGGUGGGGUAACGGCUCACCUAGGCGACGAUCCCUAGCUGGUCUGAGAGGAUGACCAGCCACACUGGAACUGAGACACGGUCCAGACUCCUACGGGAGGCAGCAGUGGGGAAUAUUGCACAAUGGGCGCAAGCCUGAUGCAGCCAUGCCGCGUGUAUGAAGAAGGCCUUCGGGUUGUAAAGUACUUUCAGCGGGGAGGAAGGGAGUAAAGUUAAUACCUUUGCUCAUUGACGUUACCCGCAGAAGAAGCACCGGCUAACUCCGUGCCAGCAGCCGCGGUAAUACGGAGGGUGCAAGCGUUAAUCGGAAUUACUGGGCGUAAAGCGCACGCAGGCGGUUUGUUAAGUCAGAUGUGAAAUCCCCGGGCUCAACCUGGGAACUGCAUCUGAUACUGGCAAGCUUGAGUCUCGUAGAGGGGGGUAGAAUUCCAGGUGUAGCGGUGAAAUGCGUAGAGAUCUGGAGGAAUACCGGUGGCGAAGGCGGCCCCCUGGACGAAGACUGACGCUCAGGUGCGAAAGCGUGGGGAGCAAACAGGAUUAGAUACCCUGGUAGUCCACGCCGUAAACGAUGUCGACUUGGAGGUUGUGCCCUUGAGGCGUGGCUUCCGGAGCUAACGCGUUAAGUCGACCGCCUGGGGAGUACGGCCGCAAGGUUAAAACUCAAAUGAAUUGACGGGGGCCCGCACAAGCGGUGGAGCAUGUGGUUUAAUUCGAUGCAACGCGAAGAACCUUACCUGGUCUUGACAUCCACGGAAGUUUUCAGAGAUGAGAAUGUGCCUUCGGGAACCGUGAGACAGGUGCUGCAUGGCUGUCGUCAGCUCGUGUUGUGAAAUGUUGGGUUAAGUCCCGCAACGAGCGCAACCCUUAUCCUUUGUUGCCAGCGGUCCGGCCGGGAACUCAAAGGAGACUGCCAGUGAUAAACUGGAGGAAGGUGGGGAUGACGUCAAGUCAUCAUGGCCCUUACGACCAGGGCUACACACGUGCUACAAUGGCGCAUACAAAGAGAAGCGACCUCGCGAGAGCAAGCGGACCUCAUAAAGUGCGUCGUAGUCCGGAUUGGAGUCUGCAACUCGACUCCAUGAAGUCGGAAUCGCUAGUAAUCGUGGAUCAGAAUGCCACGGUGAAUACGUUCCCGGGCCUUGUACACACCGCCCGUCACACCAUGGGAGUGGGUUGCAAAAGAAGUAGGUAGCUUAACCUUCGGGAGGGCGCUUACCACUUUGUGAUUCAUGACUGGGGUGAAGUCGUAACAAGGUAACCGUAGGGGAACCUGCGGUUGGAUCACCUCCUUACCUUAAAGAAGC
RNAcentral lists this ribosomal RNA (1556 nucleotides) under Escherichia coli. RNAcentral's name for it is "bacterial SSU rRNA". It matches the Rfam family "Bacterial small subunit ribosomal RNA". Lineage: Bacteria; Pseudomonadati; Pseudomonadota; Gammaproteobacteria; Enterobacterales; Enterobacteriaceae. The record is from RNAcentral.